This 1710-nucleotide ribosomal RNA is filed under the name Salmonella enterica subsp. enterica serovar Lomalinda. RNAcentral's name for it is "partial 23S ribosomal RNA". It matches the Rfam family "Bacterial large subunit ribosomal RNA", at positions 1230 to 2917 of the family's 2925-position model. The record is from RNAcentral. Lineage: Bacteria; Pseudomonadati; Pseudomonadota; Gammaproteobacteria; Enterobacterales; Enterobacteriaceae.
AGGGGAGCGUUCUGUAAGCCUGUGAAGGUGUGCUGUGAGGCAUGCUGGAGGUAUCAGAAGUGCGAAUGCUGACAUAAGUAACGAUAAAGCGGGUGAAAAGCCCGCUCGCCGGAAGACCAAGGGUUCCUGUCCAACGUUAAUCGGGGCAGGGUGAGUCGACCCCUAAGGCGAGGCCGAAAGGCGUAGUCGAUGGGAAACGGGUUAAUAUUCCCGUACUUGGUGUUACUGCGAAGGGGGGACGGAGAAGGCUAUGUUGGCCGGGCGACGGUUGUCCCGGUUUAAGCGUGUAGGUGUGUGUUCCAGGUAAAUCCGGUUCACUUUAACACUGAGGCGUGAUGACGAGGCACUACGGUGCUGAAGCAACAAAUGCCCUGCUUCCAGGAAAAGCCUCUAAGCAUCAGGUAACAUCAAAUCGUACCCCAAACCGACACAGGUGGUCAGGUAGAGAAUACCAAGGCGCUUGAGAGAACUCGGGUGAAGGAACUAGGCAAAAUGGUGCCGUAACUUCGGGAGAAGGCACGCUGACACGUAGGUGAAGUGAUUUACUCACGGAGCUGAAGUCAGUCGAAGAUACCAGCUGGCUGCAACUGUUUAUUAAAAACACAGCACUGUGCAAACACGAAAGUGGACGUAUACGGUGUGACGCCUGCCCGGUGCCGGAAGGUUAAUUGAUGGGGUCAGCGCAAGCGAAGCUCCUGAUCGAAGCCCCGGUAAACGGCGGCCGUAACUAUAACGGUCCUAAGGUAGCGAAAUUCCUUGUCGGGUAAGUUCCGACCUGCACGAAUGGCGUAAUGAUGGCCAGGCUGUCUCCACCCGAGACUCAGUGAAAUUGAACUCGCUGUGAAGAUGCAGUGUACCCGCGGCAAGACGGAAAGACCCCGUGAACCUUUACUAUAGCUUGACACUGAACAUUGAGCCUUGAUGUGUAGGAUAGGUGGGAGGCUUUGAAGCGUGGACGCCAGUCUGCGUGGAGCCGACCUUGAAAUACCACCCUUUAAUGUUUGAUGUUCUAACGUGGAUCCGUGAUCCGGGUUGCGGACAGUGUCUGGUGGGUAGUUUGACUGGGGCGGUCUCCUCCUAAAGAGUAACGGAGGAGCACGAAGGUUGGCUAAUCCUGGUCGGACAUCAGGAGGUUAGUGCAAUGGCAUAAGCCAGCUUGACUGCGAGCGUGACGGCGCGAGCAGGUGCGAAAGCAGGUCAUAGUGAUCCGGUGGUUCUGAAUGGAAGGGCCAUCGCUCAACGGAUAAAAGGUACUCCGGGGAUAACAGGCUGAUACCGCCCAAGAGUUCAUAUCGACGGCGGUGUUUGGCACCUCGAUGUCGGCUCAUCACAUCCUGGGGCUGAAGUAGGUCCCAAGGGUAUGGCUGUUCGCCAUUUAAAGUGGUACGCGAGCUGGGUUUAGAACGUCGUGAGACAGUUCGGUCCCUAUCUGCCGUGGGCGCUGGAGAACUGAGGGGGGCUGCUCCUAGUACGAGAGGACCGGAGUGGACGCAUCACUGGUGUUCGGGUUGUCAUGCCAAUGGCACUGCCCGGUAGCUAAAUGCGGAAGAGAUAAGUGCUGAAAGCAUCUAAGCACGAAACUUGCCCCGAGAUGAGUUCUCCCUGAGACUACGAGUCUCCUGAAGGAACGUUGAAGACGACGACGUUGAUAGGCCGGGUGUGUAAGCGCAGCGAUGCGUUGAGCUAACCGGUACUAAUGAACCGUGAGGC